CGUCGUUCGUCCGUCGUCGUGCCGCGUGCGAUCGUCGUCCUGCCGAAAUUUACCGGCUGCCGUCCGAUCCAUUCCACGCCUGCAUCCCGCUCCGGCCUCGCCUCGCAUUACCCUCACCUCGCAGCGCCGCCAGAACGGAAUCUCGUGCCCUCGCUCCAUCCCGGCCUCCAGUCCGAUCGGCGCCGCCAUCCAUCCCCCUUCUCCUUGCUGCGUAAGAUCGAGCUGGCCGCCGGGCGCUGGCCCCAUUAGAACCAGAGAUGCACGGAGAGGAGCCCGGAGAGGAGAGGGCUGGGCCGUCGUCCACUCGCGCUGGCCCCUACGUCGCGUCGUCAUCACAUCGCUCACCCGUGGGCAGCAGGUCCCUGCUUCCUCCGCCGGCGAUUUGCGUCACGCUAAUCUUCCGCUGCUAAUUGUCUUCCGGUCUCCAACUACCAUCCCCACGAUCUCCAUUUGCUCGUGUGCCUCCGCCCCCGAGCUGGACGGGCGGCCGCCGCCACUGCUCCCCAUCCUGUCCUUCCUCCAUCACUGCCCGCACAAUCCAGGAUCCAGACCUCCUCUGCGCCGUCUCCUUGCCGGGCCCAUGGAAGAGGGCGGCGCGGCCCCGUUGGAUGGCGCAUAGGAUCGGCCCGGAGGAGGGUGCACUGGGCGGCGGUGCCCCGCUCGGCUGCGUUCUCACCCAAGUGGAGACAGUGCCAUGACAUCCCGGAGGAGACCUCCUGCGAGGAGGUGCCAUGGGAAAUUGGUUCUCCUCUGAAUGAGGUUUGCUGGAGACUAUUGCCAAUCCGUCGGUAAGAUGUAAAUAAGCUGCAGCUCGCUCUCCUCAGUUCAUUCCAACCAUGCGUUCUGCUCCCCGCAUGCUCACCAUGUGCUUGAUGAAAAGCCGGUAAGGAUUGUCAUCCAUAUUGUCAUGAUAAUAUUUACUGUUUUUGAGCAUAUGCAAUAUUUUAUUAUCAAUAGAGUGGAUUAGGGGGGCCGAUCUUCCACUUUUGCCAACUGCGGGAGAAGUCAAGCAUGGGUUGGUUGAUGGCAUCUAUUUAAUGCAGCCAUGGAGCUUUCAUGUUGCAGGCAGUCAAGAACCUGAUUGGAGGAAGUUUUUGUUUGAAACAAGUCACCCCUGCAACUAAUGCAUUGUCUGAUGAAGGCGUCAAGGCUCUCACGGUCUCACCAUAGGACGCAGGAUGGUGGGUCAUCUGCAUUGGUCUAGAGCAUAUUUUCUGAAUGAAUAUGCUUGCUUGAUUUUGUAUAAGUAGUUUUCUCCCGAGUAUUCAUGUGUUAAGUGAAAUAAUUAUUUUCAUUUUCUCUACAAUAUUAUCAGACAUGAGAUACAAUGGUAUUGGGAGAUUACUAUGGUGAAGCUUUGGUUCUACUCAA
Panicum virgatum (switchgrass) is the source of this 1371-nucleotide long non-coding RNA. RefSeq lists it as uncharacterized. The record is from RefSeq and is a predicted model, not a curated record. Lineage: Eukaryota; Viridiplantae; Streptophyta; Magnoliopsida; Poales; Poaceae. The transcript has 2 exons.